UAAGGAAUAUUGGUCAAUGGACGGAAGUCUGAACCAGCCAUGCCGCGUGGAGGAUGAAGGCUCUCUGGUUUGUAAACUUCUUGUAUUUGGGACGAAACACUCUUUAUCUAGAGAGCUUUACGGUACCAGAUGAAUAAGCACCGGCUAACUCCGUGCCAGCAGCCGCGGUAAUACGGAGGGUGCAAGCGUUAUCCGGAUUCACUGGGUUUAAAGGGUGCGUAGGCGGAUUUGUAAGUCCGUGGUGAAAUCUCUAAGCUUAACUUGGAAAUUGCCGUGGAUACUAUCAGUCUUGAAUAUUGUGGAGGUUAACGGAAUAUGUCAUGUAGCGGUGAAAUGCAUAGAUAUGACAUAGAACACCAAUUGCGCAGGCAGCUGGCUACACAACUAUUGACGCUGAGGCACGAAAGCGUGGGGAUCAAACA
This 422-nucleotide ribosomal RNA is filed under the name uncultured bacterium. Its description in RNAcentral is "bacterial SSU rRNA". It matches the Rfam family "Bacterial small subunit ribosomal RNA", at positions 355 to 774 of the family's 1533-position model. The record is from RNAcentral.